This 66-nucleotide transfer RNA is filed under the name Neogale vison (American mink). RNAcentral describes it as "Neovison vison tRNA-Pro". Lineage: Eukaryota; Metazoa; Chordata; Mammalia; Carnivora; Mustelidae. The record is from RNAcentral.
CAGGGAGUAGUUUAAUUAGAAUGUCAGCUUUGGGUGCUGAUGGUGGGGCUGUUGCUUCUUCCUUGA